This 421-nucleotide long non-coding RNA is filed under the name Rattus norvegicus (Norway rat). Its description in RNAcentral is "long non-coding RNA NONRATT015879". The record is from RNAcentral. Lineage: Eukaryota; Metazoa; Chordata; Mammalia; Rodentia; Muridae.
UGACAUGGGGAAGACUCACCUGGCUACUCAGGUUACAUGCAACUGGACGGCCCUUACUUCCUUUGAAUCACGUAACACAAAAGGUGCGCACGUAGAAAUCACCUGCACUAAAAACCAUCUGCUGAACUCUGAAGUGCACGGUUCAGUCUCAACCCAAAGCUUCCUGCUAGCAGGUCCAACUCAAGAUCAGGAGUCCAUAUUGGGUGGAGGCAGCAAGCAGGCUUCUUCGGCUGUUUCUUUUGACACAGUCUCCCUAAACAGUCCAGGUGGCCUUUGGCUCUUGGCCUUCCUACCUAUGCUGGCGCCAUCGAGCAGAGAAGAACCAAACGUGAACGAAUGCCGCUGAGGAAAGCACCCCACCCCUCCCUUACUCGACAACCGCAAAGCCACUUCUUAUCACAGGAUUAAAAAGGAGUCAGAA